UAAAACAUCGAAGACUUUUUAGGAUGCAGA
RNAcentral lists this non-coding RNA (30 nucleotides) under Mus musculus (house mouse). The record is from RNAcentral. Lineage: Eukaryota; Metazoa; Chordata; Mammalia; Rodentia; Muridae.